AAGUCUUGUUCAGUUCAUUACUUUGUCUCUUGACAGUAAGGGUUGUGUGUUUUGUUUUUAAUUUGAUUUUUGUGUCUGUUAAUUUUUUUAUUAAUUUCCAGACAUAGUGUUCAGAGUGGUAGAGACUGAUAAAAGUAGUAUUUAUGUGUUAGGUAAAUGUCAUUUGUCUUCUGCUAGGCUAUUAUUGUGGGAAGGUGAGUAAAUUUAUCUCAAGAGUUGAGCCCAAUUUUCAGUUUUGUUCACCACUGUCUUUAAAUUCCUGUUUGUUCUUAGGUUGGAGAUAGUUUGCUGGUGGGUUUUCACGAUGUUUCUGCUCCACUCAUUAGGGCUUCCCUGUGCCACUGCCCCUCACAGGGAAAUUCUCUAGUCAUCUCCAGUGUUAAUCUGUUGCUUCUGUCUUGGAGGUUGAGGCGUUACGGUUGUGGACGAGGUUCUCUGU
RNAcentral lists this long non-coding RNA (439 nucleotides) under Homo sapiens (human). Its description in RNAcentral is "non-protein coding lnc-MICU3-4:1". The record is from RNAcentral. Lineage: Eukaryota; Metazoa; Chordata; Mammalia; Primates; Hominidae.